UCUUGGAAUUGACCCGUUACUUUACUUUUCCCUCUUCCCUAUCUCACCCUUUAAAAUGGAGCAUUCUACAUUAUUCCUUUAUCAUUUCCUUUCUCUUCUUUCCUUUCAAUCAACAAAAUACACAGAUCCACUCUUAGAUUCAACGGGCUGUGGAUUUCUCUCUUCGAUUAACCUGCUCAUGAUUAUGCUCGAGUUUUUUGUUCAGAUCUUUAUAGAUUCAUCGGCUUUGGGAAAAUAAAUAUUUUGCCAUGUCAGCGGAGAGGUUCACGAGAUGCACUUGCGUCAAGUUGAGAUCAAUGAUCAUUAGGGAAAAAAAAUUAACGCUACACAUUUCAAUGGUUAUAUUGAGUUGUAGAAAAACUAUUUACAACAAAACAAGAUCUGUUAUAUCAUAAACGGACGCAUCAAUAGUGCUAAUCCUAAUUUUCAAUCAGUGCACAAGGAGCUUGAGAUUAGAUUUAAGAAAAAUACGUUAGUUGAAGAAAGCAAUAGUCACUUUUCGACCAUUGGUUUUUCAAAUAAUUUUAUUUCAUUCGAUGAGGCAUCAAAGUGCACCAAUGAAACAAUUUUUGAUAUAGUUGGAAUUUUAGUGGAUGUUAAACCCUCUACGGGAGAAGGUUCAAAGAAACGAAGGGAGAUAGUGCUUGUCAACGAGAUAGUUGAUAGAAAGGUUGUAACCUUAUGAAAUGAUUUCUCAGAGAUAGACGGUCAAGUGCUACAAAAAUUGAUUGAUGAAAAAUCUGUUGUUGCGGCAUGUGAUGUUUGGAAAACAUCAUAUAGAGGCAAAAAACAUAGAUAAUAGUUUAUUGCCAAGUACACAACUGAAAAAUGCUCGGGAAGUAAAGAUUGAGGACAUCAAAGAUGAUUCAUUUGACAAUAAAGAGGAUACAUAUUUUAAAUUUAAUACAAGAAUAAAAGAUAUAAUGAAUAAAGACGAACCAUGGUAUUCUUCUUGCAAGAAAUGUUAAAAGAAAGUGGACGUUAUAAAUAAUAUUGCAAAAUGUCAUCGUUGUGGCGUCGAGAAUGUUGAUUACCAGGAAAGAAAGAAGAAUCCAAAUUUUAUCGCAAAUUGGCGUUGAGUCGGGGAAAAGAGUUCACCUUUCUUGUCAAAAAUUGAUUCCAAAAAUGGCAGCGAUCGAGAUGGAAGACGAUUUAUUGCGAAGGAGAUCCAGGAAGUUAAAAAAAAUUGCUGCAAUUGAAAUAGAUGAACAUAAUUAACAAAUUAUGUUCUUUAUAAUUUUGUUAAUUGCGGCAUUAAUUUUAAAAAAAAAAUAUAUUUCUUUCUAUAUGUAUGGAUC
Nicotiana tabacum (common tobacco) is the source of this 1298-nucleotide non-coding RNA. The record is from RefSeq and is a predicted model, not a curated record. Lineage: Eukaryota; Viridiplantae; Streptophyta; Magnoliopsida; Solanales; Solanaceae.